AUACGUAGGGUGCAAGCGUUAAUCGGAAUUACUGGGCGUAAAACGUGCGUAGGUGGUUGUUUAAGUCUGUCGUGAAAGCCCUGGGCUCAACCUGGGAAUGGCGAUGGAAACUGGGCGACUAGAGUGUGGCAGAGGGUAGUGGAAUUCCUGGUGUAGCAGUGAAAUGCGUAGAGAUCAGGAGGAGCAUCCGUGGCGAAGGCGACUGCCUGGGCCAACACUGACACUGAGGCACGAAAGCGUGGGGAGCAAACAGGAUUAGAUACCCUGGUAGUCCACGCCCUAAACGAUGCGAACUGGAUGUUGGGUGCAAUUUGGCACGCAGUAUCGAAGCUAACGCGUUAAGUUCGCCGCCUGGGGAGUACGGUCGCAAGACUGAAACUCAAAGGAAUUGACGGGG
This 397-nucleotide ribosomal RNA is filed under the name uncultured bacterium. RNAcentral's name for it is "partial 16S ribosomal RNA". It matches the Rfam family "Bacterial small subunit ribosomal RNA", at positions 523 to 918 of the family's 1533-position model. The record is from RNAcentral.